UCAUUCAAGUCAUUUUGUCAAAAACAAAUUUGGGUAUGAGCUUUCGUAACGUUCGGUUGUGUGACAGUUCAGUGUGGAAGUGAUAAUUCAAAAAAAAACGCAGGCGACAAAAACAAAAUAGGAACUACAUAAUAGAGCUACAGAAAAACAAGAAGAAGGACAAGGACCACAUAGGACCAAAAAAAAAAAUAGAUCUGAAGUUGACAGGACACCUGGUUGUGCAUUGCCUUGAGCAAGACGCGCAUAACCAAUAACAUGUACUGGGUAAAUGAUUAAAAAAAAAUCGAAACCCAAAAAAAAGGAAGAAGAAGAAGAAGAAAACAAAUUUGUUUGGUUUUGUUUUCAAAAUUGUUGUGAAGUUCUAUUUUCUAUUUGGUUCUAUUUUUUAGUCAUGAAGUAGUAUCGUGGGAUAUUUGAAGUUCUUGGGUACUGAAAAUUCAAGAAGUUUUAGAAGGAAAACAAGUUUUAAACUCUUGUCGUCUUAUUUUGGCUGGAAAAAUAGAGGAAAGUUCUGAGCAUACCAUCAAAAUCUGUGGUUUAUUCCUUCAGUAAGGUCCAAUCCCCACGAAAUUAAAGGAACCCCAUCUUUCACAAAUGGCAUGAGCAUUAGCUAAAUGUUAUGUUCUUGUAAAGCAGAAAAUAGUGGAAAAUGUAAACAUGUCUCUACUCUUGUUAAAUGUAAGUAUAAGGGAAGAUGUGAAAUUAAUGGAACAUUCAGUACAUGAGUUGAAAAAAAUGUUAACAGAUUGGCAAAUGAAGACCAUUUUUAAUUGAUCUAAACAUUUAUAGAAACAAAGUAUAUAGUUAAUAUAAAAUAUUUCCUGCCUGAAGUAACUUUGGUGUACAAAUCAAUAGUAACCAUAAUUUUUAUUCCCAGGGCCAGUGAGAAACAAUGUGCAUUUCAUUUCACAGGGCCGGUUGUUCGAACGCUAAUCAACAAUGAUCACUAUCAAAUAUUUUAUUUUUUUUUUUUUUAUUUACAUUAACGUGCUCGGCAACUAUGGCCACUCGCACGGUAUCAAAUAUUUAAUUACUGUCAAUGUCAUUACUGUCAAUGUCAACUUUGGUUGGGUUGCUGAAAACAUAAUUGAUUAUAAUUAUGAGAUUAGUUAAUCAAUUUACAUAACAAUUAUUAACAUAAUUGAUUAGCUAAUUUCAUAAUUGUAAGCAUUAAUUAUGUUUUUAGCAACCCAAUCAAAGAUGACAUUGACAGUUGUGACAGUAAUUAAAUAUUUGAUAAUGAUCAUUUUUAAUUAGCGUUGGAACAACGGCCCUAAGUGUUCUAAGGAAAGAUCGCAUAAGAAUAAAUAGAUCUGUACAAUGAAGAUUAAACCUAAUGUGUUUAACCAUCGAAAUUAUUGUAUUGUUAUAAAAAUAAUAAAUCUCCAUUUCAUAUUAUUUACACUUACAUACAUUAGCCUGGAAUUUCAUUGUGUCUAUAUUAGUGGCCAUAGUCACAAACCUACCCUAGUCUACGGAGGUACUGUCUUUCGCAGAUGUGGUAAUACCGGGUUAGAUACAUUAUUGCUAAAUAAAGUUUGUGAAUAGUAACUUUUCACAAAAUAGACAGUUUUAAUAGUUUUCACUGUACUUAAAUCUUUUUUACAUUUAGUGGUACAGUAGACUCCCGCAAGUUCGGCCUCGGUUAGUUCAAUCUCCGCUUAGUCCGGCCGGCUCUCUGAGCAUUAGUCACACACUUUGCACAUCAAAAAUCAUUAGAAAAGAAAAUUCAGAAAAAAUUACUGACUUUUUUUAAGUGUUUAAGAAGCCAAACCACCAAUGUGCAAUAAUAUUUUUAAAUUUUAUUAGGCCUAGAGUUCUGUAAGUAUUGUUUUAUAGUAAUGUAACGGUCUAUCUUUUGAUAUAUUAUGUUAAAUAUGUCAGAGUAUUCCUCUGUGUUGUCUUCUACUUAAUGUACAAGUGUUUUGUUUUUGCUAGAUCUAUACAAACAAUAAAUGGGCAUUUUUUAGAUAAUCAUCGGUUAGUUCGGCCACUUUUAAGUUCGGUCUAGGGUCCGGUCCCGAGGUGGCCGAACUUAUGGGAGUCUACUGUAAUAACAUAUUAUAUUUUGUUUUGGUAUUUAAAUUUACCUAAAUAUUUAUAGAAAUAUACUAUACUAAAUUCAAGAUGCAGUAGAAAUAAACAAACCAAGACACGUUAAAUGCUAAUACUAUGAGCCCUCCCGAAUCAUAAUUUACAAUGUAUAUACAUUGUAAAUCCAAAAUCAUGAUUUCCAAAGUUUAUACAUUGUAAAUUAUGAUUCGGGAGUGCUCCUAAUAGUAGGAUUUAACUUGUCUUGACUUGUUUAUUUCUACUGCAUCUUAAUUUUAAAUUUAUUGUAGAUGUGGCCAUCAUAGGACUCUUGCUUAUAGAUGCAAUAAAAUUAUUGGUUUAUUUUCAUUUUAAAUGUUAUACUUCCAGUAUUGUAUGUAGUACCUAGUAUUAAAACAUAUAUUUUUAAUUAAAAAUAUAAAUAUCUUAUUUUUAUAAUGAACAACAUUAAAUUUACUUCUUGUGGGAGUAAAAAAAAAGUUAUAGUAAAUAUUUUUAUCUCGUUUAGCUUUUGAUGAUAUUUGCCAUAUGUUUUUGUAAGACAUGUUUAACGAGUAGUCUAAGGGCAUAUUAUUAUACAUUGUUAUACAAAAUAGACAUAAAAUUUUGAAACUUUCAACUUCACUUUUUCAUUGUUUCAAUAUUAAAUCCCAAAUUUAGACUCUCCACCAUUUUCUCAUAAAAAAGUAUGUUCAGUUUUUACCCCAGGUAGACAAACCACCAAAAAAUUUAUGUUACUUAAGUCUAUAAGUAUUAAAAAAAUACGUUUCAUCAGAUACACAAAAUAAAUGCAACUGAUUAUGUUCAGAUAGUGGUGUCCCUCUUAAUUUUUAUUCCUAAAAACUUUAACUAUUAAACCAAAGUUUUAGUUAAAAAAAAAACAAAAUGUUUGCUUUCUGUGUGGUGUUACAAAAAUAAGUUGAAAUGCUAUUUAAUUUCGUAUUAUUUCCUGGUGAUCCUCUGCCAUACCAAUUUUACAUUGUUCUUACAUGCAAGCAUUUGUAAAUUAAUUUACCAUUAAAGGACGGCCCAAGGUAUAUUCAUCUUAAAUGGGUGGUUGUAGUUUUGUAUAUUUUAUUUUUAUUUUAGUUUUGUAAUAUUUUUAAGAACAAAUAAAAUAAUUAUUCUGAA
This 3183-nucleotide long non-coding RNA is filed under the name Diabrotica virgifera virgifera (western corn rootworm). Its description in RNAcentral is "uncharacterized LOC126882062". Lineage: Eukaryota; Metazoa; Arthropoda; Insecta; Coleoptera; Chrysomelidae. The record is from RNAcentral.